Molecule: long non-coding RNA, 1494 nt
Filed under: Homo sapiens (human)
Lineage: Eukaryota; Metazoa; Chordata; Mammalia; Primates; Hominidae
Description: HSALNT0015995
Source: RNAcentral
GGGGAGGGAAGUCCUCUCCUCUAUAUUUUAGGAAAAGGACAGAUGAGUUAUUGGGUGGAUACAGAGCUAGACACUCAAUUUGGUGGUGGGAGUGGAGGGGGUUAUUGUCUAGUGGAGUAGGGAAUUAGUGGAGGUAUUAAUGACCUGGGAGUUCUGUUGAGGUCUGAGAACAAUAGUGAUAGGAGGAGCUGACGCAAGCAGAAGGCCAGGGGGUGGUUGUCAGAUAAUAAGGGCUUAAAAUUGUCCUUUUGGAGAUGAAGUAGUGUAUGUAUGUGGGAGUGGCUGACUGGUGUGGAGAGGACAGGCCAUGGUGUUAAGGGGAUUAUACAUGUGACCAUGAGAGUCAUGAAAUGAUGGCAGAUUAUGGAGUAUGGAGAAAGACUGAAAGUACAGUGCCAAAGCCUUCACUGAGAGUGGGCAUAACUAGGAGUCUGCCUGUGACAAGGAUGCAUGGAAGAUCUUGAUGUUGCUGAAUGGAACAGGAGCAGGUAAGGAGGCAGAAGAAUUAUGUCUUCUAACAAGGGUCUUGGGUGGGAACCCAACCCACUCUGGGACAGGGGCAGGAGAGGCUAGAGAGAAAUGUGUGAGCCAAUAAGAGAAUUGUGUUGGCCUUUUUAUUGAUUGGCAGACAGAGAAAACCACAACUAAAUCUCUUCCAAGGUGAAGCACACAGAACUUUAUAACUUUCUUUCUUACUAUCACUGUUGGCCAGAAUAUAGUUUGUAUUUUGAAAGCCUUUACUCCUAUGUUAGGGGAAUUUUGGUCGUGAUGGCUGGACUGCUGCUAGCAGGAAAAGUACAGCAAGGGAAGGGAAGGUGCAAGUUCCUGAACGUGUAGGAUACAAAACUUAGAGAUGGAGGCUGUGUAGGCACCAAGCCUGACAGGAUGUCACACAGCAAAUGACUCUAGAAACUGUACCUCUGAUCUUGGCUACUGGUAAAGUUAGGGGAGAUGGUCUUUUUAUUUUUGUGCUGCUGGUUAGGUCAACUUACCUAUAACACUGAGUGAUAUUGUGUCACUGUGCUGGGCCACUAGGCCAUUGUUGGCCUCACAUGAGUAGUUUCCAGAAUGUUCUGCAGUCAGAGAGAGGUUGAAAGAAGCUUCUCCUCCAGAGGGGGCUGAGCUGCUCCCCAGGGUGACAUCCUCAUGAUAAAACCAGUACAGGAUUGGGGGAGAGCCUCUCGGGGCCUCACAGUGAAGCUCCAGCAGGUCCCCCACCACAGUGUGGGCCCUGGGAGCCCUGAAGGAGACCUUAGUGGCUGACAGAGAACCUAAACCCUGGCUUGCAACUCGAGGCUGUGUGAAAGGAAUCGGAACUUACUUCUCACGGUGACUCGAAUCCACGUGCUGAGGAUGGGGCUGUGAACGUUAUCAGCUGCACAGUAGUAUCUCCCUGCAUCACUCUCCUUCACGAAUGACAUUGUCUCCUUCAAAGACAGGAUGUAAAGCCUGCAGGAUCAGCCAGUCUGCAAAGAGCACAGGAGCACACUCAGG